UGCAGUCGAGCGGACAGAUGGGAGCUUGCUCCCUGAUGUUAGCGGCGGACGGGUGAGUAACACGUGGGUAACCUGCCUGUAAGACUGGGAUAACUCCGGGAAACCGGGGCUAAUACCGGAUGGUUGUCUGAACCGCAUGGUUCAGACAUAAAAGGUGGCUUCGGCUACCACUUACAGAUGGACCCGCGGCGCAUUAGCUAGUUGGUGAGGUAACGGCUCACCAAGGCGACGAUGCGUAGCCGACCUGAGAGGGUGAUCGGCCACACUGGGACUGAGACACGGCCCAGACUCCUACGGGAGGCAGCAGUAGGGAAUCUUCCGCAAUGGACGAAAGUCUGACGGAGCAACGCCGCGUGAGUGAUGAAGGUUUUCGGAUCGUAAAGCUCUGUUGUUAGGGAAGAACAAGUGCCGUUCAAAUAGGGCGGCACCUUGACGGUACCUAACCAGAAAGCCACGGCUAACUACGUGCCAGCAGCCGCGGUAAUACGUAGGUGGCAAGCGUUGUCCGGAAUUAUUGGGCGUAAAGGGCUCGCAGGCGGUUUCUUAAGUCUGAUGUGAAAGCCCCCGGCUCAACCGGGGAGGGUCAUUGGAAACUGGGGAACUUGAGUGCAGAAGAGGAGAGUGGAAUUCCACGUGUAGCGGUGAAAUGCGUAGAGAUGU
Molecule: ribosomal RNA, 660 nt
Filed under: Bacillus sp. JSM 082081-1
Lineage: Bacteria; Bacillati; Bacillota; Bacilli; Caryophanales; Bacillaceae
Description: bacterial SSU rRNA
Rfam family: Bacterial small subunit ribosomal RNA
Source: RNAcentral